RNAcentral lists this ribosomal RNA (444 nucleotides) under uncultured bacterium. RNAcentral describes it as "SSU rRNA". It matches the Rfam family "Bacterial small subunit ribosomal RNA", at positions 26 to 518 of the family's 1533-position model. The record is from RNAcentral.
AGAGCGAACGCUGGCGGCAGGCCUAACACAUGCAAGUCGAGCGCGUGUAGCAAUACACGAGCGGCAGACGGGAGAGUAACACGUGGGAACGCGCCCUUCGGUUCGGAAUAACUCAGGGAAACUUGAGCUAAUACCGGAUACGCCCUUACGGGGAAAGAUUUAUCGCCGAAGGAACGGCCCGCGUCGGAUUAGCUAGUUGGUGAGGUAACGGCUCACCAAGGCGACGAUCCGUAGCUGGUCUAAGAGGAUGAUCAGCCUCACUGGGACUGAGACACGGCCCAGACUCCUACGGGAGGCAGCAGUGGGAAUAUGGACAAUGGGCGCAAGCCUGAUCCAGCCAUGCCGCGUGGAUGAUGAAGGCCUUAGGGUUGUAAAGUCCUUUCAGCGGGGAAGAUAAUGACGGUACCGCAGAAGAAGCCCGGCUAACUUCGUGCCAGCAGCCGC